AGGCUGGAGAGCGGGGCGCGGGCAGUAGGUACCUGAAGCGAGGCUCGGCCGGAGGCUUCGGGCAGAGAUGUGCUGCUGUCAGUCGGGCAGGCCAGCUUUAGCGGCUCAGCCCUGCAGGUCACUUCCAGUUAUGGGACUUCCGCCCACUUUACAGGGCUUUGACUCUUGGGUCUGAAGAAGGCACCAGCCCCUGCUAAAUUCUGAGCAUUGACACCAGUGGAAGCCUCAUCCUCAGACUUGGAAGAAGAACUACGCACAAAAAAAACCAUUAGGAAGUAUCCAAAUGCCAAGUUUUCACAAAACAAUUAACGAAGUCUAUCCCCUGGGUGUGAUCAUGCUCUAAAAGGAAGAAAAAUGAUCUGAUCCCUCCUGAUAAGAACUGGUUUUGAUGUGACCAAGCUUUGGAAAAUGCCACCUUGUCCAAGAGACAGGAGAAAAGCACGCUUCCGGUGGGAGGACGUCUGUUUACAGCUCGGGGAAGCUAUGACAGCACAAUGUGGUGUGGACACAUGCGGGAACGUGGCUGGCUGCCCCCACGGGCUGCCAGAGCUAUUUUCCAGAUAUGGCAGCAUCCCCACCAAGCCCUGCCCAUCUCAGCACAGCCAAAAGCCCAGACGGGGAGCCUGCAUGUCUGGCCUCGAGCCCUGACCAGCCUCCGGCCUCCAAGCGCCUCCUGAGGCAUCUGCCCUUCACCCCCAGGCCACGCCCCACCCUGUGUCCACUACAUUCUUGUCCCACCAGCCCCUUUGAAGUCUGCAUCUCUGACAGCAGGUUCCAA
Homo sapiens (human) is the source of this 778-nucleotide long non-coding RNA. Lineage: Eukaryota; Metazoa; Chordata; Mammalia; Primates; Hominidae. The record is from Ensembl.